AAGUGCAAGGCUGCUGAACCUACGAGAGGGCAGGAGGCCAUCCUCGCCCCAGCUCUGCGCGGGCAUCUGUCCGUGUCUUGGAUUCCUGUAACGCUGGGUGACCGGAAGUGACUGCAUGGAGUGCAGAUGGUUCGCUGCCUGCCGCUCCGCUAGUACUAUGGUGUCCCCCCCCUUCUGUGUUUAUUAUGAGGGCAGCUGACUCGGCGUUGUACCCGGUGUGCUACGCGUGAUGCGCGGAUCGCUCGAUGCUUGAAGCAGGUCUCGCCUCAGGCUAUGGUCUUGCACGCAGUGAUUUGAUUACGCACAUAUCCCUCGCGCUGCAGGGGCUUCUCGUGUCGCGUAUCUCUGGCUGCCCGCCUGCGCCCCUUCAGGAGGACACGCUAUGAGUUCUUUGCGAUCAGGCGCAUGUUUAUCCACGGGCCCAUUCCGCUUGACACAGCCAUUCCCUUCAAAGGCAUGCGGAUUCAGGAGAAGACGGAGUGGCGCUGCUGCCACAGUCUCAUGGAAGUGUCCUGUCUGUCGCGGCACAUGCGGACAAGUCAUCCAAGCACGCCCCCAUGACCCCAACGGGCAUGGACGAUGAAGGCAGCUAGCCCCCUACCAGACAACAACGCCGUCCUGAAACAGGUCCCAGGGCCCGAAAACGCGAGCGCUGCGAAGCACAGCUGGCGUGGCGUAUGAAAUCGAAAGAAGGCAUGCAGAGGUCAGCAGAACGCGAGUGAUGGACGAGCGAGACGCGAAGAGACCCACACCGGUCAGCGGCACAGUGCAUGUGCGCGAAGGCAUGAGACAUCACCUGCAUCUGGCCGGGUGGGCUGAUGAGGCACAAGUGCCGGAAGCAUGGCAAGAACACCCCAAGUCGCGCCAUCGAGUCCUCCAGACUCUCCAGUGUGGCGAGUCACCGCGCCAUACUCUUGAAUCCCACGGCUUGAGGCGACUGAGGGCGAAGCAUGGCAUACGCAGGCAAGGGGUGUGCAGAGUCUCAGAGGGCCCUGACCUGCGGCUGGCCAACUUCCCCCUUGAGCUCAGGCGGCAUGCACCGAGGCCAGCCCCCUGUUACCCACGCGGCUGGCAUCCACCGCCUCCAUCCUUGAGUGCAUGACCUUGAGCACGGCCCGCCUGGAUCAAGGCAUGCCGUCCACGCGAGUCUCCGUCUGGCGCCGAUCGCGCAGCACGCAUCCGAAGAACGAACGCGCGGGUGUACAAACGGUGCCCGUGCGACGCGCGGCCCGCUUCGACGGCAGGAUGGUUUGUCCUAGACGACCAGGAUGUAGCCGUGAUGCGACAGAGGCAGGUGAGCUGUGACUGUGCAUGCGUCGAUUGGUUCGCCUGUUCGUCGUAUAACGGACACUCGGAAGAGAGAAGUCCUUCCCCCUUCUGUCGGUGUCUGCGUAUCGGUGCACGCAAAGCCCCUGUAUGUUUUGUGCCAUCACCAGCUUGUCUACCUUUUCAGGAUGUUUCCUUGGCGUUGGCGUGAGCCGCACCCUCUUACCCUUCCCUUACAGUGUUUGCGCUUUAGGCCUAUUCGGUAUGCGUCGAUAUCCCCACCCCCACCCCACCCCUCCCCCCGUGAGCGUCUUUCCCGUUUGUUCCUCCCUUUCUGCCUUUCUUUUUUCCACCGUUUUUUCUUCUCUUACUUGGGUGUGGGGUCUCCCGCUGUACUGUUAUUUAACGUUACCCCUCUCCCCUCCCCCUUCCGUUUAUGUGUCGUGCCUGUAUGCUUCGCUUGGUUUCACUGCUGUUGCGCGCCUCCAUCACAGCCGUCGCUGCGGCCUUACUGAGGUGUUUUGUGUUCCUGUGUGUGCGGGUGGGGGGGGGUAUUCCAUUGCAUACGCUGAUGAUGUUGUGCCCGGGCUUCCAUGCACACUUCACACAUGCAUACAUAUAUACGCACAAAACCUGCCCUUGCUGCGCGGCAGCGUGUGCACGUGAAUGAGGUCGUUCAUGUUUUGUUUUUUUCGCUUCUAUUGCUCGUCCCACCACCCCUAUUCUCCCCUCUCCAUCAGCUGCCAUGGCUCUGGGUGCCGCUGAUGAGGGGUAGUGACGGGCGAACUGGAGUUGCGCACGCGCAUCUGUAACUCUGCCUUAUCUCCAACCGUUCUCUCCUCCUCCUUGUCGCUUCUCUGACGCUUUUUGCAUCACUUACUUCGACUCGCCGCCCCACUUCCCUCCAUCGCCCACGGCCACUCGCUCUCUGUGUUUUGUUGGCGCAUGUCUGCCGAUUGGCCCUCUUCUCUUUUUGGGGGAGGGGAAUGGGGCUAUUGGGACGCUCUCUCGUCCCCCUUCUCUUUUCCUUUAACCCCCCCCCCACUCCACCCCCUCCCCCCAUCCCUUCACACAUGGUACGCUGACGCGUUGAGGGAUGACCCCGGUCGAAGCGUUGGAGUGACUGGCGGGGGAGGGGGCCGGUAUUUGGGUUUACGUAUCUGUGUGUGCCGCGUCGCACUAGCUGUUUUCCCUCGAUGUAUUGCCUUGCUCACUGCUGUCAUCGCCCCCCCCCUGCUCGCCCUGCUGCAAGCUCGAAGAAUGAGGUACGAGGGCGGCGAGGAAAGCGCUACGACCUCUUUGAGCUCCUUCCUCGCUCCUGCUUCUCCCCCUCCCCUCCCUCAACGAAAAGCGGGUGGACAGCGCUUUCUUUCCCACCGCCUACUGAAACCCCAGUGCGACGAAGCGAGCCGUGAAACCUGCUCUUGCGGCAGGCGUUAGAAGUUGUGAGAGGCUUAGCAACUCGUGUAGGUUUUUUUUUCGUCACGAAAAGUUUGGCGGAGCGCUUUCAAUCGCCGGGAACUAGCCAUAUGUAUGCAGAUGUAUGUAUGCGUUUGUGCAUGUGUGCUCUGGCGCAUGCAUCUCCUCUCUGCUCCCUCAGCGAGUAGGGGUGUAUGGCAUUUUCGUUCUUCUUCGUGCGCAUCUUGAAGAUACAGUCGGCUCUCUUUCGCAUGGUCUUCUGUCUCUGAGCUGUCCGCCGCGCUUCUAGUUUGUUUGCUUGUCCCCCUCUUCUGCGCUUGCCCUUAGUAUAACAUCUUCACCGGUGCUUUAGCUGGUGAUCUCCCCACCCCCAGCUCUCCUGCUACUUUCCUCUUCGUCUCCCGAAAGUCUAUUUCUUGUUCCUCCCUCUCCCCAACUUGUAGCUGCUCAUCCCUAUUUUCGCCUCACUUCGUUUGUUGCUUCGGUCCUCGGCUUUCACCGUCGUCCAUCCCCACCUUUUCCUCCUUUUCCCUGUUAAUUUCUUUAUUCUUCUCCCCCUCCCACUCCCCCUUGUUGCCCGCGCGCUGCCCGCUGACUCUCUCGCUCGUUUUGAGUUUCGCCGGUUCAUCUUCCUCUGGCCUUUUGUCUCAGCGCUUCUCAUGAGCAGUGCUCACUUCCACCCUCACGGAUGCCCCCCCCCGACUUUGACGGAAGUGGUGAGUGGAAUGAGAAGAGUGUGGCACGUUACGGCGAGGCGCACGCGCUGGGCUCCCGCAUACGUAUCCAGAGAGCUUCCGACAGGAGGUCCCGCAUCUUGUGGGCCAACACGCUGAGCACACUGAGUGUCGGGAUGUGCCUGCAACAGGCCAAUAGGAGCACAGAUGCACAGCGGUCUACUCACCCACGCAAAUGCAGUGCCUUUCGUAAAGAGAUCCAGAUACUGCACAGAUGUAGCCUGCACGCUUCUCCUCCUCUCCUUUCCGUUCCCCACACUCCUGUCGUCAGUGCCUUCGGAGUUGAGCACACAUCUCUGCCUCGUUCUAUACAAUCGAGGUGAAAGCUCGCAUCUCUGUGUGUCUGUGUGUGCGCGGAGUCAUCUUUUCUCUCCUUUUUGUUGCUAUUCGCCUGCACGGGCGUGCAAGGAGUGAGCGAAGCAAGUGCGAUUGGGUUCCAUAACUUGUCAGUCACUUCCUCAUCCGUCCCACCCUCCCACCCUUCCGUGCCGCCCUCAGUGCUUCAGGUCUUGAUUACAGCAUUUUCUCAAGCACAAGCCUUCACUCUCUCUCCCCCCACACACGCACACACAGAACAGACAGAACACCCGUGCGCUGUUGAUGACGGUGGGGAGUGAGAGGGAGGGCGACGGCGCUCUGUGGCUUUUUUUCCGUUUCGGUCUCCCUCCGGGGUAGCCGCACGCCCUUUGCUGUCCUCGCUUUGGUGAUGACGGUCAAGGAACGUGUUCGCCUCACUUGCUGUUGUGCAUGCGUGGGUGGAUGUUGUGAGGCGGGUCGUUGUGCUGCUGUGCGCAUAGACUCACUUCGCCUCGUGGAGGGUUGCACGCACACGCACGCACGUGUACCUUUUAUUUAUAGCGGGGCUUUAGUGAUUAUGGCUGCGUUGCUGGCACCUUCUUUCAGUGGUCUACUCUCUCUCUUUAUCGUGCGCUGUGCUCAUGCCCACAGGCAUCCACAGAGGCUUUCUUCUCUCUGAGGCGCUGCCAACCUGUGCGCGUGUGCGUGUGCGUGUGUGUUCUGCCCUUCUCGCGCUUUCCCUCCACCACAGCAGAUGUGCGCUUUCUGCCUCUUCUCGAUUUUGACCUUUUCCUGUUCUUCUUUGCUUGUGUGUGUGUGUGUGUGUGUGUGUGUGUGUGUGUGUACCACUCAUUUUUUUUUCGGUGCUACAUACUCGUAUAUACAAGGACACACACACGCACAUGCUCUGGCAAGCCCCCUCCCCCCUCCCCCCACACACACGCACCAGAGCCCAUUUUCACACAGCAGCAGUUUGCGGUGUGGACAUGCUGGACGAGCGACGCGCAGCGUGCAUUCCAUGUCUGCUGAAGUCGUCGUUGUAGGCGAUGACCGCGCAGCAUCCAAGAAAACGAUUACGCGCAGCGAACAAAACCAAGCAUGCACGCACACUUGAACGACAAGCCAGAGAAAGACGCAAAACCCGCUCCAACGGGUCUGGUGCGCGUGCACCACGUGGUCGGGGGUCGUUAUGAGUUGCAGCGCCUUUUUGCCAGCUCGUGUUGAAGAGUGAGGAGGCACGCGCUAGCGUUCGUCUCUCGUCUCUCUUGUUUCCGUUUCUUGCAUGAGGUGAGGGCCACGGAGACGCAUUUCUCAAGCAGCACACGGUAGCUCAAGCCCCUGUUUCAGCUUCCUCUGUGUCUCAUUGCUGGCGCCCCCUCCUCUCCCUCUUUCGCUGGCGCUUGCUAUCCCUUUCUUCAUAACAUCUGCGUUAUGUUUUCUGCCCCCCCCCUCCUCUUCGUUUUUCUACUGCUCUUGUCUUCAUCUUGUGUGUCUUGGCUCUCUCUCUCUGUAUGUGUGUGUGUGUGUGUCGGUUGCUUGUGUUUGCCCUUGCGACGUGCUUGCACGGUGUCCCGAGCGUGGUCGUGCUCUUCUCCUCGCCCCCUCGCCCCAUUCACCCGCUCUCGUGUUGGCCCUUCAACCGCUCAUACUGUCGCCAGAGUAUUUCGGGGCGCGUUGUUUUCCUUUCAUGUGCUCUCUAUCGAUUUUGUUUUUUUCCGUCUCUUCGCGUUUGCGCCCUCCCCUCCCCUCCCCUUCCCGUCUCUCUCCCACCGCCUUGCUGCUUGCAUAACUCGAGCACCGCAUCCAUGUACCCCCCUUCCCGCCCCCCUCACUCCCCCCCACACACACAUGUGUUUAUGCAUUGGCGUGCGCGUGCGUGUUAUGUUGUGUGCACCGUCGGUGCGCGGGUGUGUUCCGUCGCUUCACACGUGGUGCGCCUCAUGUCGUUCUCUUUGUUUGCCUCUUUUUUCUUCUGCACCCGUCCACGCAUGCACACAUGCACACGCUGUCCCUCCUCGCGUCGAAGAGGACGCGUGCGUGCGUGCGAGCGUGUAUUGAACGUGUCGUUGAGCCGAACAGAAAGAAUGCGCGUAAACG
Molecule: unclassified non-coding RNA, 5813 nt
Filed under: Leishmania donovani
Lineage: Eukaryota; Euglenozoa; Kinetoplastea; Trypanosomatida; Trypanosomatidae
Description: gene:unknown
Source: RNAcentral